This 254-nucleotide unclassified non-coding RNA is filed under the name Hevea brasiliensis (rubber tree). The record is from RNAcentral. Lineage: Eukaryota; Viridiplantae; Streptophyta; Magnoliopsida; Malpighiales; Euphorbiaceae.
GUGGAAAGAUAGUCAGCAGUUGCUAAAAAAUCUUGUUGGCCAUGUCGGCUAAACGAGUCUUCUUCGUCCUUUACUAGUACGCCAAACCCUUCCAACCGUCGCGCAACCUGAAGAUACAGAUGUCUCCCCAAGAUAUUGACCUGAAUCCUCACAUACAAGCAAAGCAUAGUCAUCGACCACAUCGACGCAGCCACUCUCGUAAAACUUAGAAUUUUAAGUCUUUCCCACAACUCAAGUUUCUCUUUCGAUGUGAG